UUUUUAACCCAACCGUUGGGUCACACAUAUUGGGUCAUUGUGUUGGGUUAUCUUAAAAUUUGUUGGGUCAUUUAUUUUCGGCGUUGGGUUAUUUUUAGUUAUAACCCAACUGUUGGGUUAAAUAUGGUUCCCGCUUCACUCCGGUUCAAAUUUUAACGGUCCAGUCAGCGACUCAGUGGACAUCAGCGGCAGUUUGCCUGAUUAUGAAAGGUAAGUAACUGUUAAUAUAAUGUUAAUAUAAUUUUAUGAUGUAUAUAACUGUUAUUACAUUAAGUAAUGUGUACUGAAACGUUAAUUAAAUCGUAAAACUAUUUAAAAAACAAAGUUUUAAUUCCCUUUAGUCAGUUCUUCCCCAGAUCGAUUGUAAAUGAAUAUGCUAUUCCCGUUUGCUUGCUAGCAUUAAUAAAUAAAAACAUUAGCUGAAAGACUAGCAAAACCGUUUAGAGAAGUAUUACUUAACGUUAAUAAAAAUGUCUGGUGAAAUGUGAAAGGGCGCCGAAAUCUUUAGGCUAUAAAAGCCGCACGGACCAUUUAUCGGAUCGGACCAGUACCUGAAGCUGCUCGAGCGAGCCGAGCUCACACAUCAGUCAUACGACAGACACCAAGCGUUUGAAUUUGCUGAAUUUUCUGUUAUAGAAGUUCAAAACUCAGACGAAAGAGCAGAGUCAUAAAUGGAUUUGUGGAUUUUGUAAAGAAAAGAUUACAACAGCGGAACCUCUGCAAUUUAAUAGAAACAUUUCAAGGUUGGUACUAAUAUGGUCCACUACCUCAACAAUGAGACAAGCCAGGAUCCACAUGUCUUGGUGCUUGGAGACAAAGAAAAUUCCUCCCAAGUUUUCAUCAUUUUCAUUGGAGAGGCAGUUG
This is a long non-coding RNA of Cyprinus carpio (common carp), 864 nucleotides long. RefSeq lists it as uncharacterized. The transcript is spliced from 3 exons. The record is from RefSeq and is a predicted model, not a curated record. NCBI's taxonomy places the organism in Eukaryota, Metazoa, Chordata, Actinopteri, Cypriniformes, Cyprinidae.